GUAAGGAAUAUUGGACAAUGGACGCAAGUCUGAUCCAGCCAUGCCGCGUGAAGGAUUAAGGUCCUCUGGAUUGUAAACUUCUUUUAUAAGGGACGAAAAAAGGCUUUUCUAAGUCGUCUGACGGUACCUUAUGAAUAAGCACCGGCUAACUCCGUGCCAGCAGCCGCGGUAAUACGGAGGGUGCAAGCGUUAUCCGGAUUCACUGGGUUUAAAGGGUGCGUAGGCGGGCAGGUAAGUCAGUGGUGAAAUCCUAGAGCUUAACUCUAGAACUGCCAUUGAUACUAUCUGUCUUGAAUAUUGUGGAGAUAAGCGGAAUAUGUCAUGUAGCGGUGAAAUGCUUAGAUAUGACAUAGAACACCUAUUGCGAAGGCAGCUUACUACGCAUAUAUUGACGCUGAGGCACGAAAGCGUGGGGAUCAAACAGGAUUAGAAACCCUAGUAGUCC
Molecule: ribosomal RNA, 445 nt
Filed under: uncultured bacterium
Lineage: Bacteria
Description: bacterial SSU rRNA
Rfam family: Bacterial small subunit ribosomal RNA
Source: RNAcentral